AUUGAACGCUGGCGGCAUGCUUUACACAUGCAAGUCGAACGGCAACGCGGGCUUCGGCCUGGCGGCGAGUGGCGAACGGGUGAGUAAUGCAUCGGAACGUGCCCAGUAGUGGGGGAUAGCCCGGCGAAAGCCGGAUUAAUACCGCAUACGACCUGAGGGUGAAAGCGGGGGACCGAAAGGCCUCGCGCUAUUGGAGCGGCCGAUGUCGGAUUAGCUAGUUGGUGGGGUAAAGGCUUACCAAGGCGACGAUCCGUAGCUGGUCUGAGAGGACGACCAGCCACACUGGGACUGAGACACGGCCCAGACUCCUACGGGAGGCAGCAGUGGGGAAUUUUGGACAAUGGGGGCAACCCUGAUCCAGCCAUGCCGCGUGCGGGAAGAAGGCCUUCGGGUUGUAAACCGCUUUUGUUCGGGAAGAAAUCCUCUGGGCUAAUACCCCGGGGGGAUGACGGUACCGGAAGAAUAAGCACCGGCUAACUACGUG
This 484-nucleotide ribosomal RNA is filed under the name uncultured bacterium. Its description in RNAcentral is "partial 16S ribosomal RNA". It matches the Rfam family "Bacterial small subunit ribosomal RNA", at positions 29 to 507 of the family's 1533-position model. The record is from RNAcentral.